GACGAAGGUGGCAAGCGUUGUUCGGAAUCACUGGGCUUAAAGGGCGCGUAGGCGGCUUGUCAAGUGUCUGGUGAAAGACCCCGGCUCAACCGGGGAAUUGCUGGGCAAACUGACGAGCUUGAGGCAGGUAGGGGCAAGUGGAACUCUUGGUGGAGCGGUGGAAUGCGUAGAUAUCAAGAGGAACGCCGGAGGCGAAGGCGACUUGCUGGGCCUGUCCUGACGCUGAGGCGCGAAAGCCAGGGGAGCAAAC
RNAcentral lists this ribosomal RNA (250 nucleotides) under uncultured bacterium. RNAcentral's name for it is "partial 16S ribosomal RNA". It matches the Rfam family "Bacterial small subunit ribosomal RNA", at positions 524 to 773 of the family's 1533-position model. The record is from RNAcentral.